CCUACGGGAGGCAGCAGUAGGGAAUCUUCCACAAUGGGCGAAAGUCUGAUGGAGCAACGCCGCGUGGGUGAAGAAGGCCUUCGGAUCGUAAAACCCUGUUUUUAGAGAAGAAAGUUCGUGAGAGUAACUGUUUACGUUUCUACGGUAUCUAUCAAGAUAGCCACGGCUAACUACGUGCCAGCAGCCGCGGUAAUACGUAGGUGGCAUGCGUUAUCCGGAUUUAUUGGGUGUAAAGGGAACGCAGGCGGUCUUUUAAGUCUGAUGUGAAAGCCUUCGGCUUAACCGGAGUAGUGCAUUGGAAACUGGGAGACUUGAGUGCAGAAGAGGAGAGUGGAACUCCAGGUGUAGCGGUGAAAUGCGUAGAUAUAUGGAAGAACACCGGUGGCGAAGGCGGCUCUCUGGUCUGUAACUGACGCUGAGGUUCGAAAGCGUGGGUAGCAAACAGGAUUAGAUACCCCUGUAGUC
RNAcentral lists this ribosomal RNA (465 nucleotides) under uncultured bacterium. RNAcentral describes it as "partial 16S ribosomal RNA". It matches the Rfam family "Bacterial small subunit ribosomal RNA", at positions 338 to 795 of the family's 1533-position model. The record is from RNAcentral.